Molecule: ribosomal RNA, 460 nt
Filed under: uncultured bacterium
Lineage: Bacteria
Description: partial 16S ribosomal RNA
Rfam family: Bacterial small subunit ribosomal RNA
Source: RNAcentral
CCUACGGGAGGCAGCAGUGAGGAAUAUUGGUCAAUGGACGAGAGUCUGAACCAGCCAAGUAGCGUGAAGGAUGACUGCCCUAUGGGUUGUAAACUUCUUUUAUAUGGGAAUAAAAUGUUCCACGUGUGGGAUUUUGUAUGUACCAUAUGAAUAAGGAUCGGCUAACUCCGUGCCAGCAGCCGCGGUAAUACGGAGGAUCCGAGCGUUAUCCGGAUUUAUUGGGUUUAAAGGGAGCGUAGGUGGAUUGUUAAGUCAGUUGUGAAAGUUUGCGGCUCAACCGUAAAAUUGCAGUUGAAACUGGCAGUCUUGAGUACAGGAGAGGUGGGCGGAAGUCGUGGUGUAGCGGUGAAAUGCUUAGAUAUCACGCAGAACUCCGAUUGCGAAGGCAGUUCACUGGACUGCAACUGACACUGAGGCUCGAAAGUGUGGGUAUCAAACAGGAUUAGAUACCCCAGUAGUC